UCCGAUAUGGUGUAACGGCUAACAUUACCGCCUUUCACUACGAAGGCCGCGGUAGCUCGGGGUUCGAUUCCCCGUAUCGGAG
Pleurotus ostreatoroseus is the source of this 82-nucleotide non-coding RNA. The record is from the annotation of a GenBank genome assembly. Lineage: Eukaryota; Fungi; Basidiomycota; Agaricomycetes; Agaricales; Pleurotaceae.